AAACUGGAGAGUUUGAUCCUGGCUCAGAACGAACGCUGGCGGCGUGCCUAACACAUGCAAGUCGAACGCGAACGUCUUCUUCGGAGGACAAGUAGAGUGGCGCACGGGUGAGUAACGCGUAAGUAAUCUGUCCUGGCAUCUGGGAUAACCUAUCGAAAGGUGAGCUAAUACCGGAUACGUCCUGCGGGAGAAAGACCGCUCUGUUGUAAAGCGGUUGUGCGAGGAGGAGCUUGCGUACCAUUAGCUGGUUGGUGGGGUAACGGCCUACCAAGGCGACGAUGGUUAGCGGGUCUGAGAGGAUGAUCCGCCACACUGGAACUGAAACACGGACCAGACUCCUACGGGAGGCAGCAGUGAGGAAUAUUGCGCAAUGGGGGCAACCCUGACGCAGCGAACGCCGCGUGGAUGAUGAAGGCCUUCGGGUUGUAAAGUCCUGUCAGAUGGGAAGAAGUGUACGUGGCAUUAGAGCUGUGCACUAUUUGACGGUACCAUCAGAGGAAGCUCCGGCUAACUCCGUGCCAGCAGCCGCGGUAAUACGGGGGGUGCGAGCGUUGUUCGGAAUCAUUGGGCGUAAAGGGCGCGUAGGCGGUCCUGAGCCAGUCAGGUGUGAAAGCACCGGGCUUAACCGGUGAGUGCAUUUGAAACACUCGGAGCUUGAAUAACGCAGAGGGAUGACUGGAAUUCCUGGUGUAGCGGUGAAAUGCGUAGAUAUCAGGAAGAACACCGGUGGCGAAGGCGAGUCAUCUGGCCGUAGAUUGACGCUGAGGUGCGAAAGCGUGGGUAGCAAACAGGAUUAGAUACCCUGGUAGUCCACGCCGUAAACGUUGAUCGACUAGGUGUCGGGGUCCAUUGUCUUGCGCAGCUAACGCAUUAAGUACCCGCCUGGGGAGUACGGUCGCAAGGUUAAAACUCAAAGGAAUUGACGGGGGCCCGCACAAGCGGUGGAGCAUGUGGUUUAAUUCGAUGCAACGCGCAGAACCUUACCUGGUCUUGACAUCCGUGAAUCCUCGUGGAAGAUAUGGAGUGCCUCUUCGAGGAGCCGUGUGACAGGUGCUGCAUGGCUGUCGUCAGCUCGUGUCGUGAGAUGUUGGGUUAAGUCCCGCAACGAGCGCAACCCUUGUCCUUUAGUUACCAUCAUUGAGUUGGGGACUCUAAGGAGACUGCCGGUGUCAAACCGGAGGAAGGUGGGGAUGACGUCAAGUCCUCAUGGCCUUUAUGUCCAGGGCUACACACGUGCUACAAUGGCCGGUACAAAGGCAGCGACACUGCGAGGUGAAGCGAAUCCGGAAAAGCCGGUCUCAGUUCGGAUUGGAGUCUGCAACUCGACUCCAUGAAGUUGGAAUCGCUAGUAAUCGCGGAUCAGCAUGCCAGCGGUGAAUACGUUCCCGGGCCUUGUACACACCGCCCGUCACACCACGGAAGUUGGUUGUACCCAGAAGCAGUUGCGCUAACCGUAAGGGGCAGGCUGCCAAGGUAUGAUUAGUAACUGGGGUGAAGUCGUAACAAGGUAGCCCUAGGGGAACCUGGGGCUGGAUCACCUCCUUU
Molecule: ribosomal RNA, 1545 nt
Filed under: Desulfofustis sp. PB-SRB1
Lineage: Bacteria; Pseudomonadati; Thermodesulfobacteriota; Desulfobulbia; Desulfobulbales; Desulfocapsaceae
Description: bacterial SSU rRNA
Rfam family: Bacterial small subunit ribosomal RNA
Source: RNAcentral